RNAcentral lists this ribosomal RNA (253 nucleotides) under uncultured bacterium. Its description in RNAcentral is "partial 16S ribosomal RNA". It matches the Rfam family "Bacterial small subunit ribosomal RNA", at positions 524 to 776 of the family's 1533-position model. The record is from RNAcentral.
UACGUAGGGUGCAAGCGUUGUUCGGAAUCAUUGGGCGUAAAGCGCGUGUAGGUUGUUAGGUAAGUCAGAUGUGAAAGCCCUCGGCUCAACCGGGGAAGUGCAUUUGAAACUACCUGACUAGAAGACGGUAGAGGAAGGUGGAAUUCCAAGUGUAGAGGUGAAAUUCGUAGAUAUUUGGAGGAAUACCUGUGGCGAAGGCGGCCUUCUGGACCGAUCUUGACGCUGAGACGCGAAAGCGUGGGUAGCAAACAGG